This 252-nucleotide ribosomal RNA is filed under the name uncultured bacterium. RNAcentral describes it as "partial 16S ribosomal RNA". It matches the Rfam family "Bacterial small subunit ribosomal RNA", at positions 524 to 776 of the family's 1533-position model. The record is from RNAcentral.
UACGGAGGAUGCGAGCGUUAUCCGGAUUUAUUGGGUUUAAAGGGUGCGUAGGCGGGCUUUUAAGUCAGCGGUAAAAAUUCGGGGCUCAACCCCGUCCGGCCGUUGAAACUGGGGGCCUUGAGUGGGCGAGAGGAAGGCGGAAUGCGUGGUGUAGCGGUGAAAUGCAUAGAUAUCACGCAGAACCCCGAUUGCGAAGGCAGCCUUCCGGCGCCCUACUGACGCUGAGGCACGAAAGUGCGGGGAUCGAACAGG